RNAcentral lists this ribosomal RNA (305 nucleotides) under uncultured bacterium. RNAcentral describes it as "bacterial SSU rRNA". It matches the Rfam family "Bacterial small subunit ribosomal RNA", at positions 335 to 638 of the family's 1533-position model. The record is from RNAcentral.
GUUCCUACGGGAGGCAGCAGUGAGGAAUAUUGGUCAAUGGGAGAGAUCCUGAACCAGCCAAGCCGCGUGAGGGAAGACGGCCCUAUGGGUUGUAAACCUCUUUUGUCGGAGAACAAAACCCGGGACGAGUCCCGGACUGCGUGUAUCCGAAGAAAAAGCAUCGGCUAACUCCGUGCCAGCAGCCGCGGUAAUACGGAGGAUGCGAGCGUUAUCCGGAUUUAUUGGGUUUAAAGGGUGCGUAGGCGGGACGGUAAGUCAGCGGGAAAAAUGCGGCGCUCAAAUCCGUCGAGCCGUUGAAAAUGCCG